UACGUAGGGUGCAAGCGUUGUCCGGAAUUAUUGGGCGUAAAGAGCUCGUAGGCGGUCUGUCGCGUCUGCUGUGAAAACUCAGGGCUUAACCCUGAGCUUGCAGUGGGUACGGGCAGACUAGAGUGCGGUAGGGGAGACUGGAAUUCCUGGUGUAGCGGUGAAAUGCGCAGAUAUCAGGAGGAACACCGGUGGCGAAGGCGGGUCUCUGGGCAGUAACUGACGC
This 223-nucleotide ribosomal RNA is filed under the name uncultured bacterium. RNAcentral describes it as "partial 16S ribosomal RNA". It matches the Rfam family "Bacterial small subunit ribosomal RNA", at positions 524 to 746 of the family's 1533-position model. The record is from RNAcentral.